AAGGAGAAAAAUUUAGUCAGUUUUUCGAAUUGUGUACGGGUGGUGCGUCAGUGCACGUUCGGUUGUAGUGGAUAACAUAGACGCGUAUGUGUAUUAAAAACUGGUGCCAAUACUGUUAUUUAUAUUAAAAUAAUUUGUUUAAAGUGACAAGAAAAAAGGAAAUACAGCUCCAAAAAUAAGACUGCCUGAAAACGGUGGAGGUGUGUGUGUGUUUUAGGCAUUUGUAUUUUUUGUGUGAUUCUGGCUGUAAAGAACGUCUUAGAGUGAUUGUUAUAAAUGGCCACAAUAGAUGGAAGACCGGCUCAAUAUGGGAUUUCUCUUAAGCAAUUACGAGAGCUCAUGGAACACAGAGGCCGAGAGGGUGUUCAGAAAGUUCAAGAAUUUGGUGGUAUAACAGAAAUUUGUAAAAAACUAUACACAUCGCCAAAUGAAGGUUUGGGUGGAUCAAAAUCUGAUGUUGAACAUAGAAGAGAAACGUUUGGGUCUAAUACUAUACCACCGAAACCUCCCAAAACCUUUCUUACAUUAGUUUGGGAAGCUUUGCAAGAUGUAACACUUAUUAUUUUAGAAGUUGCAGCAUUAGUAUCACUUGGUCUGUCAUUUUAUAAACCUGCCGACGAGGAUGCCCCUGUUUUACAAGAAGAAGAGGAUCAUCAUGGUUGGAUCGAAGGGCUAGCCAUUUUAAUUUCAGUAAUAGUGGUUGUCCUAGUGACAGCUUUUAAUGAUUAUUCCAAGGAACGUCAAUUUAGGGGCUUACAAAAUCGUAUAGAAGGCGAACACAAAUUCUCAGUAAUACGUGGUGGCGAAGUGUGUCAAAUAUCAGUUGGGGAUAUUGUAGUUGGCGAUAUUGCUCAAAUCAAAUAUGGUGACCUUUUACCAGCUGAUGGUAUUCUCAUACAAAGUAAUGACUUAAAGGUCGAUGAGUCUUCAUUAACUGGAGAGUCUGAUCAUGUCAAGAAAGGUAUUGAAAAUGAUCCUAUGGUAUUAUCAGGAACGCAUGUUAUGGAGGGCAGCGGUAAAAUGGUUGUUACUGCUGUUGGUGUUAAUUCACAAGCUGGUAUUAUCUUUACCUUAUUAGGAGCAGCCGUCGAUGAACAAGAAGCGGAAAUCAAGAAAAUGAAAAAAGAAGCUAAAAAGGCCAAAAAGAGUAAGAGUUUAACAGGCGACGAUGACAGAGCUCCAACAAAAGUUGUUAGUCAUAAGGCUGACUCUGACGGCAACCACAUACAACAACAGCAGUCUUCCACAGCUGCUGCACCCGAGUCAGGUCACAAAAAAGAGAAGUCCGUUCUACAAGCAAAACUUACAAAAUUGGCUAUACAAAUUGGUUAUGCUGGAUCAACAAUUGCCGUACUAACUGUAAUCUUAUUAGUUAUACAAUUCUGUAUUAAAACGUUUGUUAUUGAAGAAAAACCUUGGAAAAAUACAUACGCUAAUAAUCUGGUCAAGCAUUUAAUUAUUGGUGUUACCGUUUUGGUUGUAGCUGUUCCUGAGGGUCUACCAUUAGCCGUUACACUUUCAUUAGCUUAUUCAGUAAAGAAAAUGAUGAAAGAUAACAACUUGGUGCGUCAUUUGGAUGCUUGCGAGACUAUGGGCAAUGCCACUGCCAUUUGUUCAGAUAAGACUGGAACAUUAACUACAAAUCGCAUGACUGUGGUUCAAUCGUACAUUUGCGAAAAGUUAUGCAAAGUUUUACCUACUUUGAACGAUAUUCCACAUCAUGUAGGCAACUUAAUUACCCAAGGUAUUUCAGUAAAUUCUGCAUACACUUCAAACAUUUUGCCUGGCGCCGAUCCUGGAGAUCUGCCCAUGCAGGUUGGCAAUAAAACAGAGUGUGCUUUAUUAGGCUUUGUACAGGGUCUGGGUGUAAAAUAUCAAUCUAUAAGAGAUGAAAUUACUGAAGAUAAGUUUACGCGUGUUUAUACAUUUAAUUCCGUGCGUAAGAGCAUGGGAACAGUUAUACCAAGAUCAAAUGGUGGAUACCGCUUAUAUAGCAAGGGUGCUUCGGAAAUUAUGUUAAAAAAGUGCGCGUUUAUUUAUGGUCAUGAUGGAGUUUUGGAGAAAUUCACUCGUGAUAUGCAGGAACGUUUAAUACGCGAAGUUAUAGAACCCAUGGCUUGCGAUGGUUUACGUACUAUAUGCAUUGCAUAUCGUGAUUUUGUGCCUGGCAAAGCUGCUAUUAACGAAGUCCACAUAGAAAAUGAGCCCAAUUGGGAUGACGAGGAAAAUAUUAUGGCAAAUUUAACCUGUCUGUGCGUUGUAGGAAUUGAAGAUCCCGUAAGACCCGAAGUUCCAGAAGCCAUACGUAAGUGCCAGCGUGCUGGUAUUACAGUACGUAUGGUUACCGGUGACAAUAUUAAUACAGCUCGUUCCAUUGCCGGUAAAUGUGGAAUUUUGAAACCUGGUGAUGAUUUCUUAGUCUUAGAAGGCAAAGAAUUUAAUAGGCUUAUACGUGAUAGUAAUGGAGAUAUCCAACAGCAUUUAAUUGAUAAAGUUUGGCCAAAAUUGCGUGUAUUAGCUCGUUCAUCUCCUACUGAUAAAUACAACUUAGUCAAAGGUAUCAUUGACAGUUCUGUUAGUGAAAAUCGUGAAGUUGUAGCUGUUACCGGUGAUGGUACAAAUGAUGGUCCCGCUUUGAAAAAAGCUGAUGUUGGUUUUGCUAUGGGUAUUGCUGGUACUGAUGUGGCUAAAGAAGCUUCCGAUAUUAUUUUAACUGAUGAUAACUUUAGCAGUAUUGUUAAAGCUGUUAUGUGGGGCCGUAAUGUCUACGAUUCCAUAGCCAAAUUUUUACAAUUCCAGCUUACUGUUAAUGUAGUUGCUGUAAUUGUUGCUUUCAUUGGUGCUUGUGCUGUUCAAGACUCGCCACUUAAGGCUGUCCAAAUGUUAUGGGUUAAUUUAAUUAUGGACACACUUGCAUCAUUGGCCUUGGCCACCGAAUUGCCAACCCCUGAUUUGUUACUGCGUAAACCAUACGGUCGCACAAAACCUUUGAUUUCACGUACAAUGAUGAAAAAUAUUUUGGGACAAGCUUUAUAUCAGUUAGUAGUCAUUUUUGGUCUUCUAUUUGCCGGCGAUAUUAUACUAGAUAUUGAAUCUGGGCGUGGACAGGAACUUAACGCUGGACCUACUCAACAUUUCACAAUAAUUUUUAAUACUUUUGUAAUGAUGACUUUGUUUAAUGAAAUCAACGCUCGAAAAAUUCACGGCCAAAGAAAUGUCUUAGAAGGACUAUUUACGAAUCCAAUCUUCUAUACUAUUUGGAUAUUUACUAUGAUCUCUCAGGUUAUUAUUGUUCAAUACGGAAAUGUGGCAUUCUCAACAAAAGCAUUGACCCUUGACCAAUGGCUGUGGUGUAUUUUCUUUGGUCUUGGAACACUAGUUUGGGGACAAUUAAUCACAUCCAUACCAACGCGAAAAUUACCUAAAAUUUUAUCAUGGGGACGCGGACAUCCAGAAGAAUAUACUGAUGGCAUGAAUUUAGGUGAAGAACGCUUUGACUCUAUCGACUCUGAUAAAAAACCCCGUGCUGGUCAAAUCUUAUGGAUACGUGGCUUAACACGUUUACAAACUCAACCCGCGGAUGCAAUACGAGAGACUGAGGUGUAAAUUUUUACUUAUCAAAAUGCAAACACAAAAUGAUACUUAAGCAUUGUAAUAAUAUACAUCAUACAAUAUUUAUUAACUACAAAAUUAAACCAAAAGAAAGCGAAAAUAAUAACAACUACAAUUAUUAACGCAAAAAAAAAUUGUUUAAAAAAUUACAGAAAACUGAACAAAUAUAAAAAAAACAACAAGAAACAUCUUCCAAAUUCAUUACUUAUUACAGUUGCGUUCUUAUAGCGCCGUAAAACUUUAUUUUAAUUCUUGAAAUUGAGUGAAUCUAUUAAAUUUGAAACUCACUCGUAAUAUACAUACAUACUUUGUAUGUACACAAUUGAUACAAAAAAGAAUAAUUAUAACAAUAUUAAUAAUUUUUGUUUGCAUCACAAUUCUCUGGGACCAAUCAACUAUAAUUAUACAACUAAUACUACUACUACUACUAUUUUCCUACUAAAUAUUACUACUGUUACUACUUUUCUCUUCUCUUCAACUUAUUUCAACCAUGUGGCAUUGUCACUAAUCUACCAUACUUGAAAGAAACUGAUGAACUCUGUUUAAACUUAAACAUAUCCAAAAACCUUGCGCGUAAUCCGCGCAUUUAAGUCCAACCUAGAGGACUUGAAUGAGCGACGUUCUAUGCAUAGCCUGCACAGCUUACGUAGUCCACGUACCGCUAAUUUUGCCUAUGGAGGGUUUUCAAAUUCAUUAAGUCCUACAAUCAACAAUAAAAAUUUUACAUUAAGUUCUAUCAACAACAACAAAAAAUUUACACAAACGCCGCAGCAACCCUUGCAACAAGCACAGCAGU
Molecule: RNA transcript, 4408 nt
Organism: Lucilia cuprina (Australian sheep blowfly)
Lineage: Eukaryota; Metazoa; Arthropoda; Insecta; Diptera; Calliphoridae
Gene: PMCA
Gene name: plasma membrane calcium-transporting ATPase 3
Exons: 18
Source: RefSeq, a predicted model, not a curated record